GUCCUGAAGGAACGUUGAAGACGACGACGUUGAUAGGUCGGGUGUGUAAGCGCAGCGAUGCGUUGAGCUAACCGAUACUAAUGAACCGUGAGGCUUAACCUUACAACGCCGAAGC
This 115-nucleotide ribosomal RNA is filed under the name Enterobacter sp. FS01. Its description in RNAcentral is "partial 23S ribosomal RNA". The stretch from base 1 to 102 matches the Rfam family "Bacterial large subunit ribosomal RNA", at positions 2824 to 2925 of the family's 2925-position model. Lineage: Bacteria; Pseudomonadati; Pseudomonadota; Gammaproteobacteria; Enterobacterales; Enterobacteriaceae. The record is from RNAcentral.